RNAcentral lists this ribosomal RNA (467 nucleotides) under Veillonella parvula. Its description in RNAcentral is "bacterial SSU rRNA". It matches the Rfam family "Bacterial small subunit ribosomal RNA", at positions 38 to 474 of the family's 1533-position model. The record is from RNAcentral. Lineage: Bacteria; Bacillati; Bacillota; Negativicutes; Veillonellales; Veillonellaceae.
GGCGGCGUGCUUAACACAUGCAAGUCGAACGAAGAGCGACGGAAGCUUGCUUCUAUCAAUCUUAGUGGCGAACGGGUGAGUAACGCGUAAUCAACCUGCCCUUCAGAGGGGGACAACAGUUGGAAACGACUGCUAAUACCGCAUACGAUCUAAUCUCGGCAUCGAGGAUAGAUGAAAGGUGGCCUCUACAUGUAAGCUAUCACUGAAGGAGGGGAUUGCGUCUGAUUAGCUAGUUGGAGGGGUAACGGCCCACCAAGGCGAUGAUCAGUAGCCGGUCUGAGAGGAUGAACGGCCACAUUGGGACUGAGACACGGCCCAGACUCCUACGGGAGGCAGCAGUGGGGAAUCUUCCGCAAUGGACGAAAGUCUGACGGAGCAACGCCGCGUGAGUGAUGACGGCCUUCGGGUUGUAAAGCUCUGUUAAUCGGGACGAAAGGCCUUCUUGCAAAUAGUGAGAAGGAAUGACG